This 254-nucleotide ribosomal RNA is filed under the name uncultured bacterium. RNAcentral's name for it is "partial 16S ribosomal RNA". It matches the Rfam family "Bacterial small subunit ribosomal RNA", at positions 524 to 776 of the family's 1533-position model. The record is from RNAcentral.
UACGUAGGGGGCAAGCGUUGUCCGGAUUUAUUGGGCGUAAAGAGCUCAUAGGUGGUUUGGUUAGUCGGAUGUGAAAUCUCCAGGCUCAACCUGGAGGGGUCAUUCGAUACUGCCAUGACUAGAGGUCGGUAGGGGAGUGUGGAAUUCCUGGUGGAGCGGUGAAAUGCGCAGAUAUCAGGAGGAACACCAAUUGCGAAGGCAGCUCGCUGGGACGUUACUGACGCUGAGACGCGAAAGCGUGGGGAGCAAACAGG